AUUGAACGCUGGCGGCAUGCCUUACACAUGCAAGUCGAACGGCAGCACGGUCUUCGGACUGGUGGCGAGCGGCGGACGGCAGAGUAACGCGUAGGAAUAUACCCCAAAGUGAGGGAUAAGCUCCAGAAAUGGAGUCUAAUACCGCAUAUGGUCUUCGGAUUAAAGCCUUCGGGCGCUAUGGGAAUAGCCUGCGUUCGAUUAGCUAGUUGGUGAGGUAAUGGCUCACCAAGGCGACGAUCGAUAGCUGGUCUGAGAGGAUGAUCAGCCUGACUGGAACUGAGAUACGGUCCAGACUCCUACGGGAGGCAGCAGUAGGGAAUUUUCCACAAUGGGCGAAAGCCUGAUGGAGCAACGCCGCGUGCAGGAUGAAGGCCUUCGGGUCGUAAACUGCUUUAUGUGCGAAGAAUAUGACGGUAACACAUGAAUAAGGGUCGGCUAACUACGUG
Molecule: ribosomal RNA, 446 nt
Filed under: uncultured bacterium
Lineage: Bacteria
Description: bacterial SSU rRNA
Rfam family: Bacterial small subunit ribosomal RNA
Source: RNAcentral